This 253-nucleotide ribosomal RNA is filed under the name uncultured bacterium. Its description in RNAcentral is "partial 16S ribosomal RNA". It matches the Rfam family "Bacterial small subunit ribosomal RNA", at positions 524 to 776 of the family's 1533-position model. The record is from RNAcentral.
UACGUAGGGGGCGAGCGUUGUCCGAAGUUACUGGGCGUAAAGCGCGCGUAGGCGGGUUGGCAAGUCUGCUGUGAAAGCCCGGGGCUUAACUCCGGAGGGUCGGUGGAUACUGCCAGUCUUGAAGGUGCUAGGGGGAGAUGGAAUUACCGGUGUAGCGGUGAAAUGCGUAGAGAUCGGUAGGAACACCAGUGGCGAAGGCGGUCUCCUGGAGCAUACUUGACGCUGAGGCGCGAAAGCUGGGGGAGCGAACGGG